CGGGCGGACGGGUGAGUAACGCGUAGGCAACCUGCCCUUUGCAGAGGGAUAGCCUCGGGAAACCGGGAUUAAAACCUCAUGACACCUCUUAAAGACAUCUUUGAGAGGUCAAAGAUUUAUCGGCAGAGGAUGGGCCUGCGUCUGAUUAGCUAGUUGGUGGGGUAACGGCCUACCAAGGCGACGAUCAGUAGCCGACCUGAGAGGGUGAUCGGCCACAUUGGAACUGAGACACGGUCCAA
RNAcentral lists this ribosomal RNA (239 nucleotides) under uncultured bacterium. RNAcentral's name for it is "partial 16S ribosomal RNA". It matches the Rfam family "Bacterial small subunit ribosomal RNA", at positions 95 to 334 of the family's 1533-position model. The record is from RNAcentral.